Molecule: long non-coding RNA, 695 nt
Organism: Triticum aestivum (bread wheat)
Lineage: Eukaryota; Viridiplantae; Streptophyta; Magnoliopsida; Poales; Poaceae
Exons: 3
Source: RefSeq, a predicted model, not a curated record
CUUGUAUGCGCACGAGUUCCUCCCUCUUCGUCUCGUCGCCUCCUCUCAAUCCCUAAUUCCCCAAACCUCUUCCGAUGUGAUAAUUCCUUGCAGGUGCCGCCUGGUGGAAUUAUAGAGAGACGAGCCAACGAAGCAAAGGGAUUUUGAUCUAAUCUGUGGACGUCGGUCAGCCGAUUGUUGCGGCAUAAUCUGGUGCUAAUCCACCAAGUCUAGAUCGACUCUUCCUAGGAACUUUGGAUUUACAUUGACAAUUUCCGAGCGUACCAAAGAUUUGCCAAUUUGGAUGUCAUGGAUGAUCUUGCUAAAGUGUUGGUGGGCACUAGGAAGCAUCUUGUUUUUCCUUUGGUGUAUCAACUUCUAAAGUUCGUGCAAAUUUUGACGGUUGCCACAACGUCAGUGGAGAGAUGCUUUUCAGCAAUGAAUACUGUCAAAAGUGUUUUGCGCAACAAAAUGGGUGUCGAGUUCCUGAAUGAGUGAUUGAUUUGCUAAGCGGGGAAAGAUAUAUUUUCUACUAUUACAAACCAUGAUGUGAUUGAUCUAUUUAAUAAGAUGGAAGAUUGAGAAAGGAGGUUAUAAAAUAAAGUAACAACAUGAAGUGCUUUAAGUUAACCUUUGGCUUUAUGACUUUGCUCAGCCUAUACUCGGUAUGACUUUUUUAAUGUAAUAAUAUUAUUAUUGAAUCAUUGUAUAUUUUC